UUGAGAGAUGCGAUUCUAGAGAUAAAUAAAGAGAGGAACAGGUGUUGCCCUGUCGUUGCCGGUGGCUUCGGCCGUCUAUGGCGGCGGCGGGCGUACUAUGUGCGACGCCUCUGUUGCUUUUUACCUCUGGCUUUGAUUCUUUUCAUUUGCGUCGAUGUUGGAACGAAGAAUGGAUGUAGUGGACUAUUAGGACCAAAUCUGGAACAACCAGAUACCUAAGUUGAGUUCAUUGAUUUCUUUUCAUUUCUGAAUGAUAUAAGGAUUUCCUGUGCCCGUUGUAACCAUGGCUAUACAACGGAUUCGCAUGGAUAAACGCAGCAACGACUGAGGCGAUUGAAGGUUUUAGUUGUAUAGGGGAUCGUCAAUAGUGAAUGGUUGUUUUGGCUUACUAAAGGCAUCUGAAUUGGGUCAAACAAUAGCAGCAAAUAGGGGUCGUUAUCAUGGGGUAAGCCUACGGUAGCGCGCUGUGAAACAAAAAUGGUUUUUGGGGGGUGGCGAACGACACAACGGUUCCAUUUCCAGUUAUAAUCUUCAUGCUUGCACUAUAACUUGAAUGAUGCUUUCAUGCUCACAGCCACAUUAGUCCAAAAGGGUGUGAAACACCGCCCAACGGGCAUGAGUGGGGCUUGAUGGUCAGCCGUUUAGGGCAGUGGCGAAGCUUGAGAUUUCCGGUCGGGGGUCGCAAACGUAUAUACCAAAAAUUUCUAUAAAACCGAGGGGUCAAAAACGUGUAUACCAAAAAAUUUCUAUACGAAAAUUACAUACUCUCCACUAACGAGCGAAAAGUUCGGGGGGUCGACCGCCCCCUCCCGCCACCACAAAGCUCCGCACUUGGUUUAGGGCGGGUCACAAGCAUAGGAAUGGAGUAGUUAAAAGUGUCAUUUGGUAUUGCAACUGUUCAGUUAUCAUUUGCUGAAUUUUUGUAGAUAACUUGAAUGAAUGUUUUUAACUGUACCAUAUGUUUUGUAAUAUGAGGAUUAUGCAAAGAUGCUGAAUGGUUGCCCCAGUGGAAAAUUCCCAGGCUUUCUUUUUGGGGGAUAUGUUUAUUACUUUUGUGGUUCUGAUGCACCUAAAUUCGAAAACUCUUGCAUAAGAGGUUAGUUUCCCGCCGCAACGCGCGAGCGGGAAAAACCUAGUUAUAGCUAAAGCAAUUAUGGGUAAAGUAACAGUUUUUAGCCCAGUAUUUGUAGAAAUAUAUAAUAUGGAUACUAUCAUGUAAUUUUACAGUU
Molecule: long non-coding RNA, 1229 nt
Filed under: Helianthus annuus (common sunflower)
Lineage: Eukaryota; Viridiplantae; Streptophyta; Magnoliopsida; Asterales; Asteraceae
Description: hypothetical non coding rna
Source: RNAcentral